UAUUACCGCUAGGGGUGCUCGGGGCUGAGAGGCUGAAGGAUGCCGACCCUUUGAACCUGAACUCGUUAGUACGAGCGUAGGGAAGCGGCCGUAGCCUGAA
Molecule: non-coding RNA, 100 nt
Filed under: Chloroflexota bacterium
Lineage: Bacteria; Bacillati; Chloroflexota
Description: Chloroflexi bacterium TPP sequence
Rfam family: TPP riboswitch aptamer (THI element)
About the family: Vitamin B(1) in its active form thiamin pyrophosphate (TPP) is an essential coenzyme that is synthesised by coupling of pyrimidine and thiazole moieties in bacteria. The previously detected thiamin-regulatory element, thi box was extended, resulting in a new, highly conserved RNA secondary structure, the THI element, which is widely distributed in eubacteria and also occurs in some archaea. Analysis of operon structures identified a large number of new candidate thiamin-regulated genes, mostly transporters, in various prokaryotic organisms.
Source: RNAcentral